UAAGUCCAGACUAAAACCACCUACCCUUUGCCCCUAGAAAGAAGAGAAGGAGGGGCCUAUAACCAGGUUCGCGCAAGCGCUCUCCCCUCUACACCCUCACCUUGGGCCCCUGCAGGGCUCACAUGAGGACACGCCUCCUCCUCGCGCCUCCACGGCGCGCAGCCAAUCAGCGUUCCAGGGCGUCGCGGGUGGGACUGCCCCUUGCCCCUCGCACCUCCUCCCGCACGCGCCAGGACACGCCCAUUCCACGGGCCGACCUCCCCAAGCCCUAGCGCCUCGUCAGCAUGCAGCUAGCUGUCGCUGCUUCCUCCCCUGCGGACUUCGGAGGGUCCCCAGGACCGUUGUGUUGUCCUCUCACACUCUCUCGCUGUCCGGUUCCUACCCAGAGGUGUGGGGCGGGACCGAGAACCCGAGAGGCGAUGAGGGAGGCCCGGCGCGGCCUCUCGGAGGCAAAGCGCGGUCUGAGGGAAAUGCCUGGCGAGUCCUGUCGGACCCUCGCGGGACCGGUUCCCACCGCAGCCGGUGGGCAGGGCUUCUCCCCGCCCGGAACUCGUUCUCCGGUCCGCUGAAUGCAGACAGCAAGCCGGGCCGGCCCCCCGCACGGGACUGCGGAGGAAGGAGAUUCCUUGGAAUGAAACCAAUGGGAGAUCAGGGUUUGGGAGAGUCUCAUCAGAGCAGAUGGGCCAGCAGCAGCCAGAAAGCUUGUUGCCUUUGGCUGAGAGCACCAUCCUGGAUCUGACGUCUUGUGAGUAAACCCCAGCAGGCUCAGCCUUAGGCCAGAGUGAAGUUGGCCUGCUUCUCCUUGAAGAGGAACCUAAUGUACUCCCACAUCUUCCCUCCCCUCUUGUUGAUGUGAAAAUCACAUUCCCAGAGAGCUCUUCAACUUAAAGCCAUGUUGCCCAUUAACAGCCCUUGGGAGGAUGGCUUCUUAGUGCUUUUGGUCCCUUGGUAUAUUUGAAAGUAUGCUGCAUGAACGAUCAGGAGGCCUGGGUUCUGGUUCUUACCCAACCACAGUUUUUCUUGGGGCCUUAAGCAAAUUUUUCCUCCCUAGGCCACAGUUUUUCCUAGCUAUAAGGUUGUUUAUAAUAACGAUAGUUUCCAUUUAGGAAAUAUUCAUUUUUAUGUGCAACAUAUAAUUUCAUAGAAUUCUUUCAAUAAUCAGUCCUAUGAGAUAGGCACUGUUAUUGUCCCAUCUUACAGAUAAGAAAACUGAGGCUUAAGAAUUCUCAUCCCCUAAACAUCCUAUUCAAAUCUCUAGCCCCCACCCCUGGCCAACACUCCUUUCUCUGCUUUAUUUUAGCUAUAGCACUUAGUUCCACAUGAAAUACUAUAUAUUUUACUUUUUUGUUUUCCCUUUCCCCCUACAAGACUGUAAGCUCCAUUAAGGAAUGGAUUUUGUCUUUAUGUUGUUGUUGCUCAUUUGCUGUGUUUCCAGGGUUUAGAAUAGUGCCUGGCACAUGGUAGGCACUCAAAUAUUGGUUGAAUGAAUAAAAUGGAUGAAUGAUCUCUUGGUAGGAGUAUA
Molecule: long non-coding RNA, 1522 nt
Filed under: Felis catus (domestic cat)
Lineage: Eukaryota; Metazoa; Chordata; Mammalia; Carnivora; Felidae
Description: lncRNA (ENSFCAG00000053390.1)
Source: RNAcentral